Molecule: ribosomal RNA, 629 nt
Filed under: uncultured bacterium
Lineage: Bacteria
Description: bacterial SSU rRNA
Rfam family: Bacterial small subunit ribosomal RNA
Source: RNAcentral
GUCGUACGAAGCGACCCAUUGAUAUUUUGUGCUUGCACAGAAUUGAUUUGGAUUCUCGCUUAGUGGCGCAAGGGUGAGUAACACGUGGGUUAUCUGCCUCAGAGACUGGGAUAACAAUUGGAAACGAUUGCUAAUACCGGAUGAUAUGUAAGACGAUACGUUGUCUUAUAUUAAAAGGAGCCUUUAAAGCUUCACUUUGAGAUGAGCCUGCGGCGUAUUAGCUAGUUGGUGGGGUAAUGGCCUACCAAGGCAACGAUGCGUAGCCGACCUGAGAGGGUGAUCGGCCACACUGGGACUGAGACACGGCCCAGACUCCUACGGGAGACAGCAGUUAGGAAUAUUCGUCAAUGGGGGAAACCCUGAACGAGCAAUGCCGCGUGAGUGAUGACGGUCCUUUGGAUUGUAAAACUCUGUUGUUAGGGAAGAACGACCUAUGUAGGAAAUGACAUAGGAGUGACGGUACCUUUCAAGAAAGCUCCGGCUAACUACGUGCCAGCAGCCGCGGUAAUACGUAGGGAGCGAGCGUUAUCCGGAUUUAUUGGGUGUAAAGCGUGUGUAGGCGGUUUAUUAAGUCUAAGGUUUAAGCCUGGAGCUCUACUCCAGUUCGCCUUAGAAACUGAUUUACUUGA